UAACUAUGCACGUCUUGACGGUACCUAAUCAGAAAGCCACGGCUAACUACGUGCCAGCAGCCGCGGUAAUACGUAGGUGGCAAGCGUUAUCCGGAAUUAUUGGGCGUAAAGCGCGCGUAGGCGGUUUUUUAAGUCUGAUGUGAAAGCCCACGGCUCAACCGUGGAGGGUCAUUGGAAACUGGAAAACUUGAGUGCAGAAGAGGAAAGUGGAAUUCCAUGUGUAGCGGUGAAAUGCGCAGAGAUAUGGAGGAACACCAGUGGCGAAGGCGACUUUCUGGUCUGUAACUGACGCUGAUGUGCGAAAGCGUGGGGAUCAAACAGGAUUAGAUACCCUGGUAGUCCACGCCGUAAACGAUGAGUGCUAAGUGUUAGGGGGUUUCCGCCCCUUAGUGCUGCAGCUAACGCAUUAAGCACUCCGCCUGGGGAGUACGACCGCAAGGUUGAAACUCAAAGGAAUUGACGGGGACCCGCACAAGCGGUGGAGCAUGUGGUUUAAUUCG
This 500-nucleotide ribosomal RNA is filed under the name Staphylococcus epidermidis. Its description in RNAcentral is "bacterial SSU rRNA". It matches the Rfam family "Bacterial small subunit ribosomal RNA", at positions 456 to 953 of the family's 1533-position model. Lineage: Bacteria; Bacillati; Bacillota; Bacilli; Caryophanales; Staphylococcaceae. The record is from RNAcentral.